This 215-nucleotide ribosomal RNA is filed under the name uncultured bacterium. Its description in RNAcentral is "partial 16S ribosomal RNA". It matches the Rfam family "Bacterial small subunit ribosomal RNA", at positions 28 to 229 of the family's 1533-position model. The record is from RNAcentral.
GACGAACGCUGGCGGCGUGCCUAACACAUGCAAGUCGAACGGGAUCGGGGGCAACUCCGGUUCAGUGGCGGACGGGUGCGUAACACGUGAGGAACAUGACUUUCGGUCGGGGAGGUAGCCGGCCCGAACCGGACCGGGUAACGUACCGCCGUACGACCCACCUGGAGGACCUCUCCGUUCGGGUUGGAAAGACAGCAAUAGCACCGAAACGAAGU